This 75-nucleotide transfer RNA is filed under the name Gemmataceae bacterium. RNAcentral's name for it is "tRNA-His". It matches the Rfam family "tRNA". From Rfam's summary of the family: Transfer RNA (tRNA) molecules are approximately 80 nucleotides in length. Their secondary structure includes four short double-helical elements and three loops (D, anti-codon, and T loops). Lineage: Bacteria; Pseudomonadati; Planctomycetota; Planctomycetia; Gemmatales; Gemmataceae. The record is from RNAcentral.
GUGGCCGUGGUGUAGCGGACUGCACGUCCGGCUGUGAACCGGAAAGCGAGGGUUCGAGUCCCUCCGAUCACCCCU